This 288-nucleotide long non-coding RNA is filed under the name Carica papaya (papaya). Its description in RNAcentral is "long non-coding RNA (CPAP_LNC008751)". The record is from RNAcentral. Lineage: Eukaryota; Viridiplantae; Streptophyta; Magnoliopsida; Brassicales; Caricaceae.
CCUCUCACGUAUCAUAUACUCCUUCCCCAUUGGGCCAACCAGGUACUGUGUGAAGGGCAGAUGGCUGAGAUCCGCCAGACUGACGAAGUCUCCACCUAGGUAUUUGCUCUUUGACAGCCUCUCCUCGUAAAUAUCCAACACCUUUCCCAGCUUCUCUUCACUCUCCUUUAUCAGUUUUUCAUCAGCAGGGAAACCAAGAACUGGAGCAAACAUUAUGUGAAGUGUCAUGUUGAAAAUUGGCGGGUUGAACCAGCUUGCCUCCACGUCCAGCCAGUUCUCCACCACUGC